This is an RNA transcript of Siniperca chuatsi (mandarin fish), 3017 nucleotides long. It is a transcript of the gene named protein unc-119 homolog B-like, with no coding region annotated. Lineage: Eukaryota; Metazoa; Chordata; Actinopteri; Centrarchiformes; Sinipercidae. The record is from RefSeq and is a predicted model, not a curated record. The transcript has 6 exons.
UCCAAAAUGAAAAUAAUCAUUAGUUGCAGUCAACUACAAAAGUAAAAUGUUGCUUUUACGUUAAUACAUGAAUAAUAAUAAUCUAAUGAUAUAAUAUGUAACAGCAUAACAGCCACAGGGGCCAUUUUCCUGCAUUGAGUACUUUUACUUUGAAUACUUUAAUUACAUUUUCUCCUGCUAAUCAUAUAUUUGUCACAAUACAACAAAGACAAUAGCCUACUUAUUUUAACAUCAUCAUCAUCAUCAUCAUCAUCAUCAUAAUUAUUAUUAGUAGUAGUAAUUGUAGUAGUAUUGUUAAUACAUGUGUACAUAUUUCAGUAUUUUCAGGUAGGCUUGGGGAGCUGAGGGGUUGUCCAUCGCCCCCUGGUGGACGUUUCGAGAAACCCCUUCACACCCUCCUCUGGCUCACCGGACGAGUUGUCAUGGCAACUGUACAGCAUGUGCUUACAAAAACAAGAGCUUGACCGUUCACAGACAGUUCUCUCGGCAUUCGACAUCCACGACGCCAUCUUCUUCUUCUAGCAUUUAUCAGAGAGGAAGACAGAAGGCACUCGUGAAAACAGAAGGGAAGCCGAAGAACGAUGAGCGGAGCCAAAGCCCGCAGCGACGCGCCUGUUGCUGAAAAUGUCUCCGGCGGCGGGCACAGCACUGCGGCUCCUCCGCGGGACCGCAAGCCUGGCGGAGGGGUUCUGAAGAGGCUCAAGUCCCGGAGGAGCCAGGUGGACAGCAGGCCCGUCACGGAGGAAGACCUGCGGACACAGAGUGGACACAUCACGCCGGAGGAUGUGCUAGGACUGCGGGUGGCUACGCGAGGGUACCUCUGUAAACCCGAGGACAAUAUUUAUAACAUCGACUUUGUACGCUUUAAGAUCAGAGACCUGGAGACCAGCACUGUCCUGUUUGAGAUUGCCAAACCCCCACAUACAGACGACGAUGAGGAGAACAGAGAGGCAGACGCCAGCGCGGGCCGAUUUGUACGCUACCAGUUCACCCCAGCCUUCCUGCAACUGAGGACCGUGGGAGCAACAGUGGAAUUCACAGUUGGAAACCGUCCUCUAAACAACUUCCGCAUGAUUGAGAGGCACUACUUCCGCGAUCACCUGCUGAAGAGCUUUGACUUUGACUUUGGCUUCUGUAUCCCAAACAGCCGUAACACCUGUGAGCACAUCUACGAGUUCCCUCAGCUGUCUGAGAGCCUGGGCCUUCGUGGAAUACAUUUCAGCAGUCAGUUGUGGAUCGACACGCACGCACCGGAAACAAGUGGACAGGUGGGAUAAAUCAACCUCAUUCACCCCUCCCCCUACACACUAGCACACACACACACACACACACACACACACACACACACACACACACACCUAUCUUUGUAACUGGCCCUCCCAUAUAUCCUGUUCAGUGAAUCACACCACAUUGAGAUUAGCAGUGAAAAGCACUGGUUUACUGAGGUUCCCCUGAAACACACAUACACUCUCUCACACACACAGAUCUACACUCAGGCAGGGGGACAGGGGGGACAGUGGUCUCCUAUAAAUAGCAACUAGGAAUGGCGUUGAUAGGUCCUGUGAAAAGAAAUGGAGGGGGGAGUGGAAAAAGGAUUAAAAGAAAUACAGGGACGCACUGCAACUCCACUUGUGUGUGUGUCUCUAAGAUACUUUGGAGAGAGGUGGCAUGGAUUUCUUGCUACCAACAAAACUCUCUCUCUUGAAUCACCACCCUCCCUUAAAAAAAAACACCAUCCAUCCACUCUCUCUCUCUUACAUAUACACACUGUAUACACGCGUCCUCGUCCUCGGCCUCCGAGGCCCUGGUGUGAAAUCCAUCAUGUGUUAACACAACAUUCCCUGCGGCGCGUCUUCCGACAAAGAGAUGAUGAGUCACGGCACAGUCCUCUCUUCUAAGUUGGCACGAUGAUAGUCUCGAAGAUGGUCGUGACUCCUUCUGUAUGUGUGAUGAUGUCAUUUCCAGCAAUUGCUUAGUGACAUCACCCCCCUGAAAGAGGUCAGGGCAGACGUGAAGGUGCAAACAUAAAGGAUGGUGCAUGUAAAUAUGAAUAAACAUCCAUUUAGAGGUUUAAAAAAAAAAGCUAAUUCAUCAUCACUGCUACCUUUUAAAAUGCCAAUAGUGUUAACCAAGAAAGUACACUUUUAAAAAUAAGCACUUUAAGUAUGUGUCACUUUUAAAUGAGCAUCUCAUUUUGGAUUGAAUGGAUGCUGUAAUUUAAUGUCAUGCCAAGCAAAUCUUAGUAGAUGUGACAAAAGAUAACAGAUAAUUAGUUGUCUGGGAGUUAAUAAUGCACUCAGCACAACAGUGAUGGAUAGACAGAGUCCAUUUAACAAACUGUGACUCCCAUACCAAUUUCAAAGGUGGCAAGUGCAGUAUUGACAAUGUGUCUUUAAGUGUUAGGUCUCUGUGGAUUUGUAACCAGAAGCCUUUGUGCGGCUUCUAUUUUGUGUCUGUGUGUGUGUCUGUGUGUUUCCCUGCGUUUGUCUGCCCAACAGUCUGUGUGGUAUUACAGUGUAGAUCUCCAAUGCUGCUGCUGCUGCUGCUGCUUACACUCAUACAGCCGACAGACAGAAAUAGUCUUGUGUCAUCAGGGUAAAUAGGUUGUGGUCUGUUUGUGCUCGCAGGAAGCCCACAGCCGCCUUCAGAAGCCUUUCAGAGUCUUCCAGCACCGUCAGUCCAGAUUGUUUUGUGUGCGAUUAAUAAAAGGUUAACUUAACCCUCAGUCAACUGCUGAAGAGGCCUGUAAAUCUCCCUCACAAUCUCUUCCUUCCUCUCCCUUUCUCUCCUCCCUUUGUCUCUCUCCCUUUGCCACACCUUCGCCUGGGGGAUGGAGGGAUUGUGAUCGGAGAACGGAGGUGGGGCUCCUGGUGCAACCACAGACUGCCUCGAGGGUGGUGGAGAGCAGGUCCCAGGCCCUGGCAGGUCAAAGGUUGCUCACAGACAAUGGGUUCCCACUCUGGGUCAGCUGUGGUCAAGGAAACAAAAGCAGUGAAGACUUGGAUUGGACAAACUAU